UCAAUCACUUAAAAAAAAUCAAAACAAAACAAAACUUCCUUCCCUUCUCAUUCGGCUGAACCAAAAAAAAGGGCUCCUCAUUCAAUCGUCCCUUUUGCUUCUCUCCUUGGCCGAUCAUGGGUUUCAUCGGCGUCCCAUGCGCCUCCACCUAUCGUGGCUCAUGGCUCGGGAACAAAGGAGACGAGAGGCGUCCAUUGGUCCAAAUCCAUGCCGUUGAACGGGUCUCCGAUGGCUGAAACCGCGGGCAAGUGGGGCAAGUGGAGGUGCUGCCAUGGCAGCUAAUGGCAGAGGUUAGGGGUGGCACUAGGGUCAUGGGGCUAGGAUUUUUUUUGUUUAGAUUUGUUUGGGCUUGAUUUUUGGUUGUUGGGCCUGGAGGGGUUUGGCCCAUUACAGUUAUCAUCUAAAACAUCAUUUAAAAUUUAAUUAUUAAAGUAAUAGACAUUUUCUUUUCUCA
Gossypium arboreum is the source of this 454-nucleotide long non-coding RNA. RefSeq lists it as uncharacterized. The transcript is spliced from 2 exons. Lineage: Eukaryota; Viridiplantae; Streptophyta; Magnoliopsida; Malvales; Malvaceae. The record is from RefSeq and is a predicted model, not a curated record.